AUGUCCUCAUUCACCGUUCUUCCGGUCAUGCUGCAGCUAUUCAUGCUGCUCUUCUUAGCCUCUCCCGCCACCCCAUGCACCGAGCAGGAGAAGGACAACCUCCUCCAGUUCCUUGCCGGGCUGUCGCGUGAUGGUGGCCUCACCACGUCCUGGCGUAACAGCGGCACAGACUGCUGCGAAUGGGAAGGCAUCUCCUGCAAUGGAGAUGGGGCCGUCACUGGGGUCUCCCUGGAGUCUAAAGGACUUGAGGGGCCCAUCUCACCGUUCCUCGCCAACCUCACCAGCCUGCUGCGUGUUAACCUCUCGCACAACUCAUUCUCCGGUGGUCUUCCAGCGGAGCUCAUGUUCUCUGGAAGCAUCAUCGUCCUCGAUGUCAGCUUCAGCCGGCUCAACGGACCGCUGCCCAAGCUUCCGUCGUUGGUUACCACCAACCGGCCUCUGCAGGUACUCAACAUCUCAAGCAACCUGUUCAGCUCACAAUUUCCAUCAGCCACAUGGAAGGUGAUGGACAGUCUAAUCGCACUCAACGCCAGCAAUAACAGCUUCACUGGGAACAUACCGUCUUCUCCCUGCCUUGGGUCGCCAUAUUUGGCAUUGCUUGACCUAUGUUACAACCAAUUGAGUGGUGACAUACCAAACACGCUGGGUAAUUGUUCCAAGCUCAAAGUGCUCAAGGCUGGCAACAACAACCUAAGUGGGAUUCUCCCUGUUGAAACCUUCCACGCUACCUUGCUGGAGUACCUCUCCUUCCCCAACAAUGCUUUACAAGGAAAACUUGAUGGAGCACAUAUAGUCAAACUCAGUAAUCUAGCUACUCUUGACCUUGGAGGGAAUCACUUCAGUGGCAAGAUUCCGCUGUUGAUAGGUCUGCUCAAGAGGCUGGAGGAGCUCCAUUUGGGUAGCAAUAACAUGUCUGGGGAGCUGCCAUCAACUCUGGGCAACUGUACAAAUCUCAGAAUCAUUGAUCUAAAGUUCAACAACUUCAUCGGAGAUCUAGGGAAGGUAAACUUCGCCAUCCUACAGAAUCUGAAAAGUUUAGAUCUCAUGAGGAAUAAUCUCAGUGGUAUGGUUCCAGAAAGCAUUUACUCAUGCAGCAAUUUGACAGCACUGCAGCUGUCGGACAACCAUUUCCGUGGUGAAAUCUCAUCAAAAAUAGGCAAUCUGAAGCACCUGUCCUUCCUAUCACUUAGUAGAAACUCCUUCACAAAUAUCACAAAAGCUUUGCAUGCCCUUUAA
This 1236-nucleotide ribosomal RNA is filed under the name Triticum aestivum (bread wheat). RNAcentral describes it as "partial small subunit ribosomal RNA". The record is from RNAcentral. Lineage: Eukaryota; Viridiplantae; Streptophyta; Magnoliopsida; Poales; Poaceae.